AACGAACGCUGGCGGCAUGCCUAACACAUGCAAGUCGAACGAGAUCUUCGGGUCUAGUGGCGCACGGGUGCGUAACGCGUGGGAAUCUGCCCUUUGGUUCGGAAUAACAGUUGGAAACGACUGCUAAUACCGGAUGAUGACGAAAGCCCAAAGAUUUAUCGCCAGAGGAUGAGCCCGCGUAGGAUUAGCUAGUUGGUGUGGUAAAGGCGAACCAAGGCGACGAUCCUUAGCUGGUCUGAGAGGAUGAUCAGCCACACUGGGACUGAGGCACGGCCCAGGCUCCUACGGGAGGCAGCAGUGGGGAAUAUUGGACAAUGGGCGAAAGCCUGAUCCAGCAAUGCCGCGUGAGUGAUGAAGGCCUUAGGGUUGUAAAGCUCUUUUACCCGGGAUGAUAAUGACAGUACCGGGAGAAUAAGCUCCGGCUAACUCCGUGCCAGCCGCCGCGGUAA
Molecule: ribosomal RNA, 449 nt
Filed under: uncultured bacterium
Lineage: Bacteria
Description: partial 16S ribosomal RNA
Rfam family: Bacterial small subunit ribosomal RNA
Source: RNAcentral